GAUGAACGCUGGCGGCGUGCCUAAUACAUGCAAGUCGAGCGAACAGACGAGGAGCUUGCUCCUCUGACGUUAGCGGCGGACGGGUGAGUAACACGUGGAUAACCUACCUAUAAGACUGGGAUAACUUCGGGAAACCGGAGCUAAUACCGGAUAAUAUAUUGAACCGCAUGGUUCAAUAGUGAAAGACGGUUUUGCUGUCACUUAUAGAUGGAUCCGCGCCGCAUUAGCUAGUUGGUAAGGUAACGGCUUACCAAGGCGACGAUGCGUAGCCGACCUGAGAGGGUGAUCAGCCACACUGGAACUGAGACACGGUCCAGACUCCUACGGGAGGCAGCAGUGGGGAAUCUUGCGCAAUGGGCGAAAGCCUGACGGAGCAACGCCGCGUGAGUGAUGAAGGUCUUCGGAUCGUAAAACUCUGUUAUUAGGAAAGAACAAAUGUAUAAGUAACUAUGCACGUCUUGACGGUACCUAAUCAGAAAGCCACGGCUAACUACGUG
Molecule: ribosomal RNA, 497 nt
Filed under: uncultured bacterium
Lineage: Bacteria
Description: partial 16S ribosomal RNA
Rfam family: Bacterial small subunit ribosomal RNA
Source: RNAcentral